RNAcentral lists this ribosomal RNA (446 nucleotides) under uncultured bacterium. RNAcentral describes it as "partial 16S ribosomal RNA". It matches the Rfam family "Bacterial small subunit ribosomal RNA", at positions 338 to 795 of the family's 1533-position model. The record is from RNAcentral.
CCUACGGUGUGCAGCAGUCGAGAAUCUUUCACCAUGGGGGAAACCCUGAUGGUGCGACGCCGCGUGGGGGAAUGAAGGCCUUCGGAUUGUAAACCCCUGUCAUGUGGGAGCAAAUUAAAAAGAUAGUACCACAAUAGGAAGAGACGGCUAACUCUGUGCCAGCAGCCGCGGUAAUACAGAGGUCUCAAGCGGUGUUCGGCAUCACUGGGCGUAAAGCGUGCGUUGGCUGUUUCGUAAGUCGUGUGUGAAAGGUGCGGGCUCAACCCGCGGACGGCACAUGAUACUGGGAGACUAGAGUAAUGGAGAGGGAAGCGGAAUUCGCGGUGUAGCAGUGAAAUGCGUAGAUAUCGAGAAGAACACUCGUGGCGAAGGCAGGUUCCUGGACAUUAACUGACGCUGAGGCACGAAGGCGAGGGGAGCGAAAGGGAUUAGAUACCCGUGUAGUC